Molecule: ribosomal RNA, 253 nt
Filed under: uncultured bacterium
Lineage: Bacteria
Description: partial 16S ribosomal RNA
Rfam family: Bacterial small subunit ribosomal RNA
Source: RNAcentral
UACGGAGGGUGCAAGCGUUAUCCGGAUUCACUGGGUUUAAAGGGUGCGUAGGCGGGUUGUUAAGUCAGUGGUGAAAGAUUCGAGCUCAACUCGGAAACUGCCAUUGAUACUGAUGAUCUUGAAUACAGUUGAGGUAGGCGGAAUGUGUCAUGUAGCGGUGAAAUGCUUAGAUAUGACACAGAACACCGAUUGCGAAGGCAGCUUGCUAAACUGUGAUUGACGCUGAGGCACGAAAGCGUGGGGAUCAAACAGG